Molecule: non-coding RNA, 72 nt
Organism: Podarcis lilfordi (Lilford's wall lizard)
Lineage: Eukaryota; Metazoa; Chordata; Lepidosauria; Squamata; Lacertidae
Source: the annotation of a GenBank genome assembly
AGAGCUGUAGCUCAGAGGUAGAGCAAAGGCUUUGUAAACAUAAUGUCCCAGGUUCAGUUCCUGGCAUCUCAA